UAGGGAAUAUUGCGCAAUGGGCGAAAGCCUGACGCAGCAAUCCCGCGUGGUGGAUGAAGGAUUUCGGUCUGUAAACACCUGUCGGUGGGGAAGAUAAUGACGGUACCCACAGAGGAAGCACCGGCUAACUACGUGCCAGCAGCCGCGGUAAUACGUAGGGUGCGAGCGUUGUCCGGAAUUAUUGGGCGUAAAGCGUCCGUAGGCGGUUAGAUAAGUUUGGCGUUAAAGGCGCGGGCUCAACCCGUGUAGUGCGUUGAAAACUGUCUGACUAGAGUAUAGUAGGGGAAGCUGGAAUUCUUGGUGUAGCGGUGAAAUGCGUAGAUAUCAAGAGGAACACCCGUAGCGAAAGCGGGCUUCUGGGCUAUUACUGACGCUAAUGGACGAAAGCUAAGGUAGCGAAAGGG
This 404-nucleotide ribosomal RNA is filed under the name uncultured bacterium. RNAcentral describes it as "bacterial SSU rRNA". It matches the Rfam family "Bacterial small subunit ribosomal RNA", at positions 355 to 776 of the family's 1533-position model. The record is from RNAcentral.